UAGGAUUUGAUUUAGGGUUAAGAUUUAGGAUUUGCUCAGGAUUUGAUUAGAAUUUAUUUAAACUUUGAUAAGAUUUGAGUAGGAUUUAGGAUUUUAUUGGUAUUUGGUUUAAAAUUAGACUUUAGGAUUUGAUUAGGAUUUGGCAUAGAAUUAAGAUUUAAGAUUUAAAUUAGAUUUCAUUAAAAUUUAUUUAAGAUUUAAGAUUUCAUUAAAGUUUGGUUGAAAUUGGUUUAGAAUUUUAUUAAAUUUUGUUAAAGGUCAUAUUAAGAUUU
RNAcentral lists this long non-coding RNA (272 nucleotides) under Physcomitrium patens. Its description in RNAcentral is "long non-coding RNA (PPAT_LNC007938)". The record is from RNAcentral. Lineage: Eukaryota; Viridiplantae; Streptophyta; Bryopsida; Funariales; Funariaceae.